RNAcentral lists this unclassified non-coding RNA (301 nucleotides) under Glomeraceae sp. Its description in RNAcentral is "partial contains 5.8S ribosomal RNA and internal transcribed spacer 2". The stretch from base 1 to 71 matches the Rfam family "5.8S ribosomal RNA", at positions 84 to 154 of the family's 154-position model. The record is from RNAcentral. Lineage: Eukaryota; Fungi; Glomeromycota; Glomeromycetes; Glomerales; Glomeraceae.
GUGAAUCAUCGAAUUUUUGAACGCAAAUUGUGCUUCCUAGCAUCCCGGGAAGUAUGCCCGUUUGAGGGUCAGUAUUAACAAAAAAAUCGGUGUGUUGCUUCUUUGUGACGCUCCGGAGUUUGGGUCAUCUUAAUAUCCUUUAGGUUUUAAGAGGCUUAAAAUUGACUUUUUUUGCGCAUUUUAGAUGUACAUAAAUUCUUUUUUUUAUUCGUCUGUCUUAAUGCCAAAAUCUUAUUAGAUGCGAUCACAUCGUGUGGCUUCGUGUCCAUAAAAUUUUCAUGAUUUGACCUCAAAUCAGGUA